This 3068-nucleotide long non-coding RNA is filed under the name Podarcis lilfordi (Lilford's wall lizard). The record is from RNAcentral. Lineage: Eukaryota; Metazoa; Chordata; Lepidosauria; Squamata; Lacertidae.
GGCUUGGGCGCAGGCUCCGCGCUGCCCAAAAUGGCAGCGUGGGGCUUGUGUCUACCCGCCGCCUUCCCCUCAGCUGCCUCCCUCUCACUGAGGCUCCGCUGCUGCUGCACGAGUUCCAGCCGCUGAUGGAUCGCGCGCGCGUGGCUGCUGCUGGAGGGCAGCGCGCGAGAGGGUGAUCUGGCGCUGCUGGAGACCUUCGCCCGCGACCUCUUCGCCCGAGCUGGAGCCGCGCAAGGAGGAGGAGGUAGCGAGGGCGCAGCCGGUUCCUCCCGGGGCGCGCAGGGUCCGUGUGUGCGUAGGCAGCGGAGGCGCCGUGCGCGCUGCUCUUCGUGCUCUUCCGCGCAGGAUUCGCUCGCGCCGCCCCCGCGCGUGCCAGGAGCGGCUCUGCCUGAGCGAGAUCCUCCACGACGUGCGAGGCUCUGUGCAGCGCACCGUGCCUUGCUCACCCCACCUCCAUCCCCGGCUCGCCCCAACCCCUGGGCGCAAGGCAUGUGCGCCACACCGGGCGCCCGAGUGGCCAGCUCCGCCACUGAGAAACAGAUGCCUAUAACACAGGAUUCAGGCCAACUUUUGGAACCAACUCCAGCCCUGGACACUGAAGUUGAAACUUCACCCUCUGGACUCCAACCUGGAAAAACCCAGCAUUAACCUCAAGGAACGAGGCGAUUGCCAGUGCAUCCAGCCCCCAUCCCAGGAGAGGGAGAUAAAUAUGGCAGAUCUGCAUCAAAACGAUUUAUACCCAUCUGUCACCAUUGUGAAAAGAUGGUCAUCCCAUACAAAAUCUAGGGUGAACGAGGUAGUCAAUCCAGUGGAAGAUAUAAGGUUGCUAGAGAGAGAAAGCAAAGAGGCAGAGCUGUUUCUAUUUGUUUAGCUAUGGAUAUCCACAACUGCAUCCAAAAGCAGAAGACAGCCAGGGAGCCCCAGUCACAUGCAGAAGCAAGGGCCAUCAAGUGAGUGAUGGGAAAGAUCUUGACUUGGUUGGUUGCUGCCAGUCCGAGCAUACCAUACUGGGCUAGAUGAACCAACACUCUGGUGUGCUAUAAGGCAGCUUCCCAUGUCUGAUGUGUGCUUCUGGGUAUGUAUGGCGCAGCUGUGGUUCUAAUGAUUAAUUGCUCCCAUUGUGAGCCGGAUGUGCAUUAUGUGACUAAUUUUCGCUGCAUUAAUGAAUCCCCAGAUUGACAUUCAAAGACUUUCUCCCCUUUCUUCUUACAAUAACCUCUGCUGUUAAUGGAUUUUGAUGGACUCUGGUAAGUGCACGAUGACAGGAACACUACACAAAGGUUCUUGUUAGUGUUUUUCCCCAAACACAGUGUGGGUCAUACCAGUCACGGUUUGUACUGUGAUGGUCUUCUCCACGUGUGGGCACUCACUGCAAAAGGGCCACUUCCUGAGGGUUGACCCCAGCUGGAGCUUUUGUACUUCAAAUAACUGCAUCUGAGCAGGGAUUUGAAUCUGAGCAUCCCACAUCCAAACACAUCAGCUCUCUAUGGAAGCACCAUCCCAAUAUUAUUAUGGCACAUGGGGACAACAAUUGGAUUUUGGCACAUGCUGAAGGAAACCCUGGAGCUAACAUGAGUCCUCCACAAUUCAGAUGCUCACCUAAAUGACCAUAGAAAGGUGAGCAGGUUUGUUCACAUUCCUGGCAGGUAGCCUCACUAAAAGAGCAUUUGGCAGAAUGUCUGGAAAAAAGCUAUGAAUGUACAAACUGUGGGCAGAUCUACACUAUACAUUUAAAGCACAUCCUAUGCACAUACAACAAAGCAUACAACAUCCCCCAAAGAAUGCUGGGAACAGUAGUUCUUUAAAGGGUUCUGUGAAUUGUAUCUCUGUGAUGGAGAAACUACAGUUCCCAGCAUUCUUUGGGGGAAGUCAGGUGCUUUGAGGAUGCACACACACUAUACCUUUAAAGCACAUUUAUUUGUUUUACAGUCAUACCUCGGGUUGAAGUAGCUUCGGGAUGAGGAUUUUCGGGUUGCGUGCUGCGGCGACCCGGAAGUAACGGAGCACGUUACUUCCGGGUUUCGCCGCUCGUGCAUGCGCAGAUGAUCAAAAUGACAUCACGCGCAUGCGCGGAUGCAGCAAAUAGCGACAUACACAGACACGGAGACGCAGGUUGCGUUCACUUCUGGAUGUGAACGGGGCUCCAGAACGGAUCCCGUUCGUAACCAGAGGUACCACUGUAUUUCAGAGAAUGUAUACACUGCUUGAUUUUAACACCAAAAAAUCCCCAAAACCCUCAUUGAAACACAUUAUUUCCCUCUGAGCACAGAGUUACCAUCCCCAGCAACACUUAAUAGUACCAUCACUGGGGCCCAUCAUUGUCUCUUGUGGGAAUGAGUUCCAUAGUUUAACUAUUUCUUUUAUCUGUCCUGAAUCUUCCAACAUUCAGCUUUACACGGGUGGCGCUGUGGGUUAAACCACAGAGCCUAGGACUUGCCGAUCAGAAGGUUGGUGGUUUGAAUCCCCACAACGGGGUGAGCUCCCAUUGCUCAGUCCCUGCUCCUGCCAACUUAGCAGUUUGAAAGCACGUCAAAGUACAAGUAGAUAAAUAGGUACCGCUCCGGUGGGAAGGUAAAUGGUGUUUCCGUGCGCUGCUCUAGUUCGUCAGAAGCGGCUUAGUCAUGCUGGCCACAUGACCCGGAAGCUGUACGCUGGCUCCCUUGGCCAGUAAAGAGAGAUGAGCGCCACAACCCAGAGUCGGCCACGACUGGACCUAAUGGUCAGGGGUCCCUUUACCUUUAUGAGUUCUUGUCACCUGAGAGAGAGAGAGCUUUUCUCUAUCCACUUUCUGUAUGCCAGGGAUCAAUUUAUAAACUUCUAUCAUUUCACUUCUUAUUUGCCUUUUCUCUAAACUAAGAAGUCCCAGACUCUGCAACUAUGCCUCAUGGGGGAAUAUAAAUACAAAAGAAGGAAAACAAAUCUUUAUACAUUUGCCACUGCUAAUACUACCCACUUGAGGACACUAUAUAUUCUUGCACUUUAUAAAAAUCAAAUUCUGUGAAUAAUUGCAAAUUAUGUAUAAUUGCAAUUGGGAUAAGUAUGAAUAAAGUAUGCUAAUUAGACAUCUU